RNAcentral lists this ribosomal RNA (254 nucleotides) under uncultured bacterium. RNAcentral's name for it is "partial 16S ribosomal RNA". It matches the Rfam family "Bacterial small subunit ribosomal RNA", at positions 524 to 775 of the family's 1533-position model. The record is from RNAcentral.
UACGUAGGGUGCGAGCGUUAAUCGGAAUUACUGGGCGUAAAGCGUGCGCAGGCGGUUUUGUAAGUCAGAUGUGAAAUCCCCGGGCUUAACCUGGGAACUGCGUUUGAAACUACAAGGCUAGAGUGUGGCAGAGGGGGGUGGAAUUCCACGUGUAGCAGGUGAAAUGCGUAGAGAGUGUGGAGGAACACCGAUGGCGAAGGCAGCCCCCUGGGUUAACACUGACGCUCAGGCACGAAAGCGUGGGGAGCAAACAG